CGCGCAGGCGGUCGUUCAAGUCGGAUGUGAAAGCCCCCGGCUCAACUGGGGAGGGUCAUUCGAUACUGAUCGACUCGAAGGCAGGAGAGGGAAGCGGAAUUCCCGGUGUAGUGGUGAAAUGCGUAGAUAUCGGGAGGAACACCAGUGGCGAAGGCGGCUUCCUGGCCUGUUCUUGACGCUGAGGCGCGAAAGCUAGGGGAGCAAACG
This 207-nucleotide ribosomal RNA is filed under the name uncultured bacterium. RNAcentral's name for it is "partial 16S ribosomal RNA". It matches the Rfam family "Bacterial small subunit ribosomal RNA", at positions 568 to 774 of the family's 1533-position model. The record is from RNAcentral.